AACUCAGACUGUAGUCUUCGCUUUAAUCCCUCUUUUGGCUGGAUCACCCUUUCGGGUUUUCAAUCCACCGGGAUACCCAUUUUUGCCUAAGCCGCCCUCGCGGGUUUUCGACUUACCGGGUGUACAAAUUCUUUUCAUUUUUAUCCCUAAUUUUUGCCCGAACCUUUUCUUUCUCAAUCCACCGGGAUACCCAUUUUUGCCUAAGCCGCCCUCGCGGGUUUUCGACUUACCGGGUGUACAAAUUCUUUUCAUUUUUAUCCCUAAUUUUUGCCCGAACCUU
Molecule: long non-coding RNA, 280 nt
Filed under: Lathyrus oleraceus (garden pea)
Lineage: Eukaryota; Viridiplantae; Streptophyta; Magnoliopsida; Fabales; Fabaceae
Description: Pisum sativum (pea) long non-coding RNA (PSAT_LNC020752)
Source: RNAcentral